GCGGGUGUAGCUAGACAGAGAAAUUCGUGUCGCUGUCUCUUUUACACCCCCCCGGAUGUUGGGCCAGUCAUCAAUAUUAAUUAACCUUCGAUAUACAGGAUUUAUUCUUGUACGAUGUCGAGGUGUACACGCGAAGAGCAUGUAAACUUAUGUUGGUAGAAUUUUUCAGGAAGGCAAAAUAUUUCAAUUUUGAAAUAUGUAUUAAUUUUAAAAUAUCUACAGAAAAGUUCCAUUUAGAAUUGCGAAGCUGAUAGUAGUAAUAGGAUUUAUAUAAAUAAGUAGAAAAGUUUCCGAGAUACAGAGUGAAAAAAUUUUAAAUCAAUUAAUUUUUUGUUUAAACUCAAAAAUAUUGUAGUUUUUGCAGUAAUUGCUUAAAAUAUGGUGCUCUAAUUUAUUUGAGGACAGCGGCAAAUCUUUUGUAUCGUUCUAACGCUUGCAAAAUUACACACCAUGCGUAUUCAUUAAUUAUAAGUAAUAAUUAGAAGUAAUUAUUUAUUGCAAAAUUAAAGGAAUUUUAUAAUUUGAACAAGGAAUGAAAAACAAAUUUAUUAAUAUUUAACAUCGUACGUAUCACAAAAAAAUUACCCUAUAUAGAUUCUUACAAUUGAUCGACAAACUGUUUUAUAGACCUUAUAGCGUCAUUUACGUUCCAAAUGUGGGAUACAUAUCUCAAAAUUGAAACAGCAAGGAGAAAAAACAAAAAUUAAAUUUCUAACUUUGUCCUCUAUAUUUCAUAAGGAACGCGUUUGCGGACAUAUGAUUAUAUAAACAUUUCUUUUUAUUUGGGUCAGUUUUAUCCCCUUAUUCAUUUUCCGAUUAAAAAAUGUUUGCUCAUUUAAAACUUGCUUGGCAUAGUCCAUAGUAACGAUGGAAUUUUGAUUAAAUAGUUCAUUUUCUUCUCUUAAUUUUCUUGACGCCUACAGAGGUAUAAAUAAUUAUUGUCUAGUCUUUUCCUCUUUAGUUUAUUUUUGUUCAGACUAGUUUGUACAGACAUCUAGAAUACAUAGAAGCAUAUAAUAGAAAUCAAAGGCAAACUAAACUUCUUGUUAUUUAGCUUAAUUGAAAUUAAAUAUGUCUGUUCUUAGAAAAUUAAAAAGAAAUGAAGCUGUAAAA
Molecule: long non-coding RNA, 1113 nt
Organism: Dendroctonus ponderosae (mountain pine beetle)
Lineage: Eukaryota; Metazoa; Arthropoda; Insecta; Coleoptera; Curculionidae
Exons: 2
Source: RefSeq, a predicted model, not a curated record